GAUAAUCAUUGUAUGAGAAUGCAUGCUGAAUCUUCAUCUCCCAGUCAACGUAGGCGUCUGGGUCACUCCUGCCUUUAAAAGAUGAUACAUUGAGUUUUACUCCCUCACUUCUGUCUUGCCGCUUUAUUCGGUUCGAUCCAUCAUUGACCCUUCUGUUGCCACUAUAAGGUCUCCCAACAUUUGGAUUCAUUUGGUGCUCUAGUCCUUCUAUUCGCCUGUAGAACUCUUCAUUGUUAGGUUUCAACAAACGUUGCAUUUGUCUAGUCAUCGCGUCCAGUAAUAAGCACUGAAAUCCGUCCAGUUGAUGAUAUACACCACCAUUGUCACCAGCUCCUGCCAUGAUUAAGGAACAAAGAAUUUUUGCAGUAAUUUAAAAAAAAAGAUUCAAGACCUCACCACACUCUACUCACG
RNAcentral lists this long non-coding RNA (411 nucleotides) under Glycine max (soybean). RNAcentral's name for it is "long non-coding RNA (GMAX_LNC001307)". Lineage: Eukaryota; Viridiplantae; Streptophyta; Magnoliopsida; Fabales; Fabaceae. The record is from RNAcentral.